This 253-nucleotide ribosomal RNA is filed under the name uncultured bacterium. RNAcentral's name for it is "partial 16S ribosomal RNA". It matches the Rfam family "Bacterial small subunit ribosomal RNA", at positions 524 to 776 of the family's 1533-position model. The record is from RNAcentral.
UACGUAGGGGGCAAGCGUUGUCCGGAUUUACUGGGCGUAAAGCGCGCGUAGGUGGAACGUUAAGUCCGGUCUGAAAGCCCCCGGCUCAACCGGGGAGGGUGGCUGGAAACUGGCGUUCUUGAGGGCGAGAGAGGAGGGUGGAAUUCCUGGUGUAGCGGUGAAAUGCGUAGAGAUCGGGAAGAAGGCCGGUGGCGAAGGCGGCUCUCUGGAACGUUCCUGACACUGAGGCACGAAAGCGUGGGGAGCAAACAGG